This is a long non-coding RNA of Phasianus colchicus (ring-necked pheasant), 1160 nucleotides long. RefSeq lists it as uncharacterized. The record is from RefSeq and is a predicted model, not a curated record. NCBI's taxonomy places the organism in Eukaryota, Metazoa, Chordata, Aves, Galliformes, Phasianidae.
CGCCGCGGUGCGCCGCGCUCAGCGCUCCGGCCGGCGCCUGGAGCCCGGGCAGCGCCACCCAGCGGCAGGAGAGCGCGAACGGGGCUGAGGGAAGAGGAGGGGCGGGGCGGGGCGGGGCGCCAUCCCGGUCCCGCGCUACGCUUGUGUGGGGAUGGAGCCGAGGGCUGCCAGGAGAUCAGCCACUGGAGGGCGACAUGAUCCCAAGUCACACGUAAAGCUCUAAGCCUGCUAAAUUGGGUAGCACGCACCCAGCAAGCACCGACAGUCAGCAAAGGAAUUUCUGCAUAAAGAUUGCCAUCCCCCAAGAUAUCCUGGAGAGCAAAGUCCCUUCCCAGUGGAGAAACUCAUGAAAAGAUGGAUUGGCCAGAGAACCUGAUCAUCACGUGGGACUGCCCAGGAAGCCAGAAGUCACGAAAGACUCUUAUGUGCCAGCAGGAGAUGAUGAAAAGAAACAAUAACCACAGCAGAGAAUGCAAAGACAGGCAGGAGGUGAGAGCAGCAAGGACUUCUAAAGAGGCCCUUUGUGUGAUUCCCAUAGAAGAAUCCAGAGAGGGAAAAGUGACAGGAUGCAACUGAAAGAUACUCUUUUAAACAUUUACUGAAAAGGACAGAGAAGAUGCAUGGAAGGACACACAUCACACACAAACCCCUGGGCACAUCAGCGCUAGUUAAAGUCACCUGCAAAGCACCAAGACGCUCUGCCACCUCAUCGUGGGACAGAUGCUGACUGCCCUCUGCGCCAGCUGAGCUCACCGUGCAUUCUUCAGUAAGAAAACACGACUGUGGCAUCGCAGCACAAAAUGGCUAUGUUGGGGACAUUGCGGGCUGUGCUCUCCUGCUCCAGGAGACAACAUGGAAGAACACGCAGUGCUGGGAAAAGUACACUUUCUUCACAAAUAAAUAGAAACGAAGCACAAUGCGAUAGACUACAACACAAUAAAACGCCCCCUUUAAAGCCAGCGCGCUACGGCUGGAUCCAGGCCGAAGGCUCUGUCGCAGGGAGGCAGCAGGCACGGGCGACCACGAGUCACCGGGAUGCUCCGCUCGGUUCACCGAUGCUCCAGCACCGUUUCCUCCCGCAGCACGCAGUCCUACCGCUAGACGCUACCGGGAGCCACCCUGGGGACGAGGAGAUGCCGCAGCCCAACCCGCGGGUAGCC